RNAcentral lists this ribosomal RNA (453 nucleotides) under uncultured bacterium. RNAcentral's name for it is "bacterial SSU rRNA". It matches the Rfam family "Bacterial small subunit ribosomal RNA", at positions 39 to 476 of the family's 1533-position model. The record is from RNAcentral.
GGCCGCGGGAAUUCGAUUGGCCUAACACAUGCAAGUCGAACGGCAGCACGGACUUCGGUCUGGUGGCGAGUGGCGAACGGGUGAGUAAUAUAUCGGAACAUACCCAGUAGUGGGGGAUAACUAUCCGAAAGGAUAGCUAAUACCGCAUACGAUCUGUGGAUGAAAGCAGGGGAUCUUCGGACCUUGUGCUAUUGGAAUGGCCGAUAUCUGAUUAGCUAGUUGGUAGGGUAAAAGCCUACCAAGGCGACGAUCAGUAGCUGGUCUGAGAGGACGACCAGCCACACUGGAACUGAGACACGGUCCAGACUCCUACGGGAGGCAGCAGUGGGGAAUUUUGGACAAUGGGGGCAACCCUGGUCCAGCAAGGCCGCGUGAGUGAAGAAGGCCCUCGGGUUGUAAAGCAAGGGGUCAGGGAAGAAACGGAGUUCUCUAAUAUAGGAUUCUAAUGACGGU